UCUUAACACAUGCAAGUCGAGCGGUAAGGCCCUUCGGGGUACACGAGCGGCGAACGGGUGAGUAACACGUGGGUGAUCUGCCUCGCACUCUGGGAUAAGCCUGGGAAACUGGGUCUAAUACCGGAUAUGACCUUACAUCGCAUGGUGUUUGGUGGAAAGAUUUAUCGGUGCGAGAUGGGCCCGCGGCCUAUCAGCUUGUUGGUGGGGUAAUGGCCUACCAAGGCGACGACGGGUAGCCGGCCUGAGAGGGCGACCGGCCACACUGGGACUGAGACACGGCCCAGACUCCUACGGGAGGCAGCAGUGGGGAAUAUUGCACAAUGGGCGAAAGCCUGAUGCAGCGACGCCGCGUGAGGGAUGACGGCCUUCGGGUUGUAAACCUCUUUCGACAGGGACGAAGCGCAAGUGACGGUACCUGUAGAAGAAGCACCGGCCAACUACGUGCCAGCAGCCGCGGUAAUACGUAGGGUGCGAGCGUUCCGGAAUUACUGGGCGUAAAGAGCUUGUAGGCGGCUUGUCGCGUCGAUCGUGAAAACUUGGGGCUCAACCCCAAGCUUGCGGUCGAUACGGGCAGGCUUGAGUAA
Molecule: ribosomal RNA, 584 nt
Filed under: Nocardia cyriacigeorgica
Lineage: Bacteria; Bacillati; Actinomycetota; Actinomycetes; Mycobacteriales; Nocardiaceae
Description: bacterial SSU rRNA
Rfam family: Bacterial small subunit ribosomal RNA
Source: RNAcentral